AUGAACGCUGGCGGCGUGCCUAAUACAUGCAAGUCGAGCGCACAGACGAGGAGCUUGCUCCUCUGACGUUAGCGGCGGACUGGUGAGUAACACGUGGAUAACCUACCUAUAGGACUGGGAUAACUUCGGGAAACCGGAGCUAAUACCGGAUAAUAUAUUGAACCGCAUGGUUCAAUAGUGAAAGACGGUUUUGCUGUCACUUAUAGAUGGAUCCGCGCCGCAUUAGCUAGUUGGUAAGGUAACGGCUUACCAAGGCAACGAUGCGUAGCCGACCUGAGAGGGUGAUCGGCCACACUGGAACUGAGACACGGUCCAGACUCCUACGGGAGGCAGCAGUAGGGAAUCUUCCGCAAUGGGCGAAAGCCUGACGGAGCAACGCCGCGUGAGUGAUGAAGGUCUUCGGAUCGUAAAACUCUGUUAUUAGGGAAGAACAAAUGUGUAAGUAACUAUGCACGUCUUGACGGUACCUAAUCAGAAAGCCACGGCUAACUACGUG
This 496-nucleotide ribosomal RNA is filed under the name uncultured bacterium. RNAcentral's name for it is "partial 16S ribosomal RNA". It matches the Rfam family "Bacterial small subunit ribosomal RNA", at positions 29 to 507 of the family's 1533-position model. The record is from RNAcentral.